UCAUUUACACACAAUGUCCCCGGGCCUGACCCAGGCAGAGGCUUGAAAAGAGCCCGGGCCCCACUCUCCUCAGGCCCUCACCUCAUGAGGCCCUAGAGAUCCCCCUACACGGAAGCCAACACUGGAUGCCCUGGGGAUCUUAGCGCCCCAGCUCCAGGGCCUUGGAACAUGCUGCUCCUUGCUCUUCUUCAGACCAGCUUGUCUCCACAAUCGCUUCCUCCAGGACGUCUUCCUUUAGCUUCCUGUGACACACACUCAUAGCAAUGGAUACUUCUCAAGAUGAGAAAACUGAGACUCACAGAGGGACAGGAUUGCCGGUGGUCAGAUAGCUGGUAAGUAUUGCAGCUGGUCUGGGAACCCGGUGCUCAGACUCAAAGCCAGUGCUCUUGAUCACUUCACUACACUGUAAGCCCAGAAAGGGGCCCAGGGGUGGACGGGGCACAGGCAGUGAGUAGUGGUGAACAGGUGAGGGGGUGGAGUCUCUAGUCUCCCUCAUCCAGGUCUGGGGGACGGGGGUGGCAUCACUCCCCUGCUUGAAACGCUCCUGUGGCUCCCCAAUCACAUUUUGAACAAAACCCAAAGAUUGCUGGGCCCCCCAGGACCCAGCCCCCUGCUCCCUCGGGCAUCUCCUCUCCUACCGUUUGCUCACUGCCUUCCUGCCACCAGGCAUCCUGACUGCUCACUGACAUGCCAGGUAGCUCCCAUCUCAGGCUUUUGUUCCUGCCCUCCCCUCCACAUGGAAUGUUCUUUUUCCAGCUCUCGGAGUUCGCUCCCUCACUACAAUCACACCUCCGCUCAAAUGUCACCUCUCCAGAGAGAACUGGCCCUAUCUAAACUAGCUCCCCAUCAGUGGCAUCACCUAUGCUAUCCUUGCUUAAUGGCAUGCCUCUACCAACAAUCAUAUUGCCUAUUACCUGUGUUAUUGUUUCUCCCAGUAGAAUAAAGCUCCAUGAGGCAGGACUUGUCUGCGUUGUCUACUGCUGUAUCCCUGGAUACAUCUGGCAUAUUGCAAGCCCUCAAAACAUACUUUUGAAUGGAGCCACACCAACCUGGGCUCUAAUCCCAGCUCUCCCACCUCCUAGCUGUGUAACUCUGAGCAUUUAGUUAACCCCUAUAGCCUCAGUUUCCGCAUCUGUAAAAGGGGUGGCUGUGAGUAUUAAGUUAUAUCGGGCAGUAAAGAUCUGUGUGGUGCUUGGCACAUGAAGGUGCUCAAUACAAAAUUAGCCCAUCUCUCUUGCCCCCUAAUUCUUGCCCUGGGCAAAGGAGGGGAGGGCAGGAGACUCGGACUUGGAGGAUUCACUGGGUGGACUCUCUGUUGGUGUGAGAAGAGACUUCAGUUUAAAGGAAGUCGCAUGACUGUGAUCACAAGGCUGGUAAAGAAUGAGGCUAAAGAUGUAGUGGUCAGAAAGGAAGAGGAGGGACAAGCGCCUGCAGAUGGGACAGCCCCAAGGCUGCUGGAGAAUUGGCCAGUAGUCUCCUCCACUGACCUGGAGUCUAGGGGGGAUGCAGAAGCUUGUUCCUGUCUGUUAGAGAGUGUGGAAAAGGACUCGGAGGUCGAAGGACAGAAGAGGAAGCAUAGGUCAUCAGUAGGUACUUAUCGGGCACCAGCUAUGUAGCAGGCACUGGGGAUACAGCAAAGGAAUAGACAGAGAGGGUGUCUGCCCUCUAGGAUGGGGGUGGGUGAAUUAGGGCCCAUGGGCCAAGUCUGACCUACUUUUAUGUGACGUGUUAUUAUUAUUUAUUUUGAGAGAGAAAGAGCGCAAGCAUGCAUGCAGGAAGGGCAGAGAGAGAGGAAGAGAGAAAGAAUCCCAAGCAGGCUCCGCAC
Molecule: long non-coding RNA, 1825 nt
Organism: Felis catus (domestic cat)
Lineage: Eukaryota; Metazoa; Chordata; Mammalia; Carnivora; Felidae
Exons: 3
Source: RefSeq, a predicted model, not a curated record